Molecule: ribosomal RNA, 547 nt
Filed under: uncultured bacterium
Lineage: Bacteria
Description: bacterial SSU rRNA
Rfam family: Bacterial small subunit ribosomal RNA
Source: RNAcentral
GGAAUAUUGGGCAAUGGGCGCAAGCCUGACCCAGCGACGCCGCGUGAGGGAUGAAGGUCUUCGGAUUGUAAACCUCUUUCAGUGGGGAAGAAGCGAAAGUGACGGUACCUGCAGAAGAAGCACCGGCUAACUAUGUGCCAGCAGCCGCAGUAAUACAUAGGGUGCAAGCGUUGUCCGGAAUUAUUGGGCGUAAAGAGCUCGUAGGUGGUUUAUCACGUCGGAUGUGAAAUUCUGAGGCUCAACCUCGGACCUGCAUUCGAUACGGGCAAACUAGAGUGUGGUAGGGGAGACUGGAAUUCCUGGUGUAGCGGUGGAAUGCGCAGAUAUCAGGAGGAACACCAAUGGCGAAGGCAGGUCUCUGGGCCAUUACUGACACUGAGGAGCGAAAGCGCGGGGAGCGAACAGGAUUAGAUACCCUGGUAGUCCGCGCCGUAAACGGUGGGCACUAGUUGUGGGAACCUUCCACGGUUUCCGCGACGCAGCUAACGCAUUAAGUGCCCCGCCUGGGGAGUACGAUCGCAAGAUUAAAACUCAAAUGAAUUGACGG